RNAcentral lists this long non-coding RNA (2919 nucleotides) under Homo sapiens (human). Its description in RNAcentral is "HSALNT0049732". The record is from RNAcentral. Lineage: Eukaryota; Metazoa; Chordata; Mammalia; Primates; Hominidae.
UUAAAAUGAGAAAAGUGAUCGUUUAGGUUAGAAUUGCGUACUUUAAUGUCAGCCUGGCUGAAGAACUUUGCCAGUGCUGCGGGGAGUGAUUACUACACAUGCUUGGUUCCCACGGCGGGGGCUCCACCAAAGGCCAGUCUGGCAGCACCUGAAAUGGGGCUGAGCGCUGGGCAGCAUUUCAGCGCUGAUCCUCCUUCAGACAGUGUCAUCCAUGAUCCCAGGUCAGGGUGCUGACAAGGACAGUUAAUGGAUAAGUAGAUUUGCUGGAGGGCAAAUAUUGUCCUUUUGGCUUAUUUAAAUUUUCUGUUUUUCUUUGUGAAAGAAUAUGAGAUCUUUCCAAAUGAUAAAAAGGCAAUAGCCAUUACUUUCAUGCAUGUACAUAUUUGCUUAUUUAUUUAUUUAGAGACAGGGUCUUGCUCUGUCACCCAGGCUGGAGUGCAGCUCGAGCACAGUGGCACUGUGCACAUAGCUCACUGCAGCCUCAUCCUCCCAGGCUCAAGCAAUCCUCCUGCCUCAGCUUCCUGAGCAUCUGGCACUCCAGGGGCACACCACCAUGCCUGGCUAAUUUUUUGAAAAUUAAAACCAAAAAUUCAUAAGGAUGAGGUGUCACCAUGUUGCCCAGGCUGCCAUUACUUUGAAAUAACAAGGCAAAAUUGAAAAAUGCCCCAGCGUGGUUUUCUCUGCCUUUACUCGGUCACGUGGAUAGAAACUUCCAUGGCACAGGGGCUGUUCUCAGGGACGAGGCUCCCAGGAAGCCAAUUAGUGUUUCCUUCCCCUUCAGCCACAUUCCUAGCUAAUGAUGCUGUUAAGUACCAGCCUUCUCCCUGCUCCCUUACUGUUCUGAAUCACAUUGCUGGCUUUAAAAGUGUUUAAUGUAUACCCAAACCUUUGCUUUCAUCUUAUGCAUUAAAAGCAGAAAUGUUAUAUUUUUAAGAGAGACAUCAAAAAGGGAAGAUGUGAGGAUGCAACAGGCUCCCCUUGCUCCAGAAUCCCCCGAGAGGCUGAUUCUCUUCUGUACGUUGUCUUCACUUUGGCUGCAGUGGCCUCUCACAGCUCCCAUCAGUGGACCUGAAGGGGCUUCAUCUCUUGACCUGGGGCCAGGAGCUCUGCAUGCAGAAUGACAGAGGACCCUGGAGAGGCCAGACGGCCAUUCACUGUGGGCCUUGUCAGUGUCUUUCUUCACCCUGGGUUUUACUGAAACUCUCUAAAAAUAAGCAAAGAUUUCCAGGGAAAUCAGCUGCCUCUGGAGGUGUGGACACCUGAACUACUUUAGAAAGUACCAGGACUGCUGUCUCUGAAACCAGAGAGGCAGGACAGUGGCGGGGCACCCCCUGACUUCACAGGGGCCACGUGGUCAGGGCUGGCGAAUUGGCCAGGUGCCAAGGUGGCCUUGUGCCAAGGACUGUUGUGGGUGGACACCACUCUCAGUGCACGCUGGCCAUGCCGUGCAGUGUUUUUGGAAAUGAAGAGCGGUUCAUUUCCUCCCACCUGAGGAAGUUCAGCCACUCAGGUGCAGAGAGGGCCUUGCUGAAUCCACUGAGCUCUGUCAGUUGGAGCCGGUCUGGGUGUGGAAAGAGAUGGGCAGACAGCCAUGGAACCCGUGAUCUCUGUGCAUCCUCAUCCAUGCAAGCCCUGCCUCUCAAAUUCCAGGGUUUGGAUCCUUGAUACAUCUCUACCAGGCUGCAGCAGCGUGGGUGCUGCUGUCCCAUGUGCCGGUGGAGGGCCUGAGUGUCGCAGACCAGCUCACUGAAGGUUUCUGGCAGCCCGCCUGGACGCAGAGAGCACUCUGAACCAGCGCCUCGAGCAAUGCUGUGCCCCGUGGGCGACCCAUGGAGCCAAGGGGUGGAGGUAGGAGAGGCUCCUCUUAUCCCCAUCCACAGCAUUGGUUUGGUGACGGGUAUAUCUUCUCCCCACGACUCUGAGCUUUUUAGAUUGUAAAGUCCUGGCUCUGGAGGGGUCGUGCUUCCGUGGGAGACACAGCACAGGUCUCAUUCAACUUCAUGGGUAGCUGCCACCAGGUCACAUCUGGCUUCUGAGCUAAGAGGCCAGCAGGCCGGGGAGAAAGCCCCACACUGGCAGGGCCUGGAGGAGGCAGAAGGCGGAAAGGAGAGAGCAUGGGGCAUGUCCUGGCACGGUGGGAGUGUCAGUGCAUGAACGGCAUGACGAGGGCAGCCUCUAAUUCCCCCCGGGAGCCGCCUCUCUCACGGAGCUGCUGUCCAAGGGUGGAGGGAUCUGGAGUGGGAAUCUGCAGCUGGUCCCACUGAACCCUCUGCUGUGAGUUUCCCGGGUAAAGAGACCCGCCAGGGCAUGGAGGAGCUGCUGGCACCCGGGCCCCACUGCUGUUUGAGGGAUGUGGGGACUGUGAUGGAUGGUGUGGUGCCCGGCCUGGGGCCCCGAAGGGCCGAGGGGCUGGGAGUCGCUGCUGAUGGCUCACAGCCAGGCUGUCUUGGGACGCCUUUUGCCCUUCCCGAGUGUAUGCCUCCGCCUGGGAACGCUCCAGCCAAUGGCUAAUCUAUGCGGUGGUCUGAAGGCCUGGCCCCUUGCCCCAGUUGGAGACCCCUCUGAGGGCAAUUCCAGCUUCCCAGCUCCCAGGGUCGGCCGAGGCUGGGGCUGCAACGGCAUUGCAGCCCCUUGCUCCUGCCGUGCGAGAUGCCUGCUCCCUCUUUACCUUCCACCAUGAAUAAAAGUUCCCUGAGGCACCCCCGAGAAGAAGCCACCAUGCUUCCUGUACAGCCUGCAGAACUGUGAGCCAACUAAACUGCUUUUCUUUAUAAAUUACCCAGUCUCAGGUAUUUCUUUAUAGCAAUGCUAGAAUGGACUAAUAUAAUACCAUUUGACAAAUGAGGAAAAUGCUAGAAUAUUUAAGUGAGUUAAAAAAACUUUUUUUUUUUGAGAUGGAGUAUCGCUCUGUCACCCAGG